CCUACGGGAGGCAGCAGUGAGGAAUAUUGGUCAAUGGACGCAAGUCUGAACCAGCCAUGCCGCGUGCAGGAAGACGGCUCUAUGAGUUGUAAACUGCUUUUGUACGAGGGUAAACGCAGAUACGCGUAUCUGUCUGAAAGUAUCGUACGAAUAAGGAUCGGCUAACUCCGUGCCAGCAGCCGCGGUAAUAAGGAGGAUUCAAGCGUUAUCCGGAUUUAGUGGGUUUAAAGGGUGCGUAGGCGGUCGGAUAAGUUAGAGGUGAAAUCCCGAGGCUCAACUUCGGAAUUGCCUCUGAUACUGUUCGGCUAGAGAGUAGUUGCGGUAGGCGGAAUGUAUGGUGUAGCGGUGAAAUGCUUAGAGAUCAUACAGAACACCGAUUGCGAAGGCAGCUUACCAAGCUACUUCUGACGUUGAGGCACGAAAGCGUGGGGAGCAAACAGGAUUAGAUACCCCGGUAGUC
This 460-nucleotide ribosomal RNA is filed under the name uncultured bacterium. RNAcentral describes it as "partial 16S ribosomal RNA". It matches the Rfam family "Bacterial small subunit ribosomal RNA", at positions 338 to 795 of the family's 1533-position model. The record is from RNAcentral.